This 62-nucleotide transfer RNA is filed under the name Polyphemus pediculus. RNAcentral describes it as "tRNA-Gly". The record is from RNAcentral. Lineage: Eukaryota; Metazoa; Arthropoda; Branchiopoda; Diplostraca; Polyphemidae.
ACCCCUUUAGUAUAAUUCGUAUAUUUGACUUCCAAUCAAAAGAUCCAGCAUUGGAAGGGGUA